Molecule: signal recognition particle RNA, 293 nt
Filed under: Suricata suricatta (meerkat)
Lineage: Eukaryota; Metazoa; Chordata; Mammalia; Carnivora; Herpestidae
Description: Metazoan signal recognition particle RNA (ENSSSUG00005019597.1)
Rfam family: Metazoan signal recognition particle RNA
About the family: The signal recognition particle (SRP) is a universally conserved ribonucleoprotein. It is involved in the co-translational targeting of proteins to membranes. The eukaryotic SRP consists of a 300-nucleotide 7S RNA and six proteins: SRPs 72, 68, 54, 19, 14, and 9.
Source: Rfam by way of RNAcentral
CCCGGUCGCGGUGGCGCGCGCCUGUAGUCCCAGCUACUCGGGAGGCUGAGACAGGAGGAUCGCUUGAGCCCAGGAGUUCUGGGCUGUAGUGCGCUAUGCCGAUCGGGUGUCCGCACUAAGUUUGGCAUCAAUAUGGUGACCUCCCGGGAGCGGGGGACCACCAGGUUGCCUAAGGAGGGGUGAACCGGCCCAGGUCGGAAAAGAAGAUGUGGUAUAUAUACACAAUGGAGUAGUACUACAUGGCAAUGAGGAAGAAUGAAAUCUGGCCAUUUGUAGGAAAGUGGAUGGACCUU